Non-coding RNA from Pelobates cultripes (western spadefoot toad), 246 nucleotides. NCBI's taxonomy places the organism in Eukaryota, Metazoa, Chordata, Amphibia, Anura, Pelobatidae. The record is from the annotation of a GenBank genome assembly.
CAAUAAAUUAGCACAUUGCCAACAAACCUCAGAGCCAGGAAUUCAAGGCUCUGUCUAAGGUGAGCAUAUUUAUUACUAUCUCACUAUAUUGUAUACACCAUCUGUACAAUACCACCUAUGAGGUUCUCUCUCUCUGUUUGUUCCAUAUCUUCGGGAGAAUAUCGUUUGGGAUAAAGAGGUGUGUUGCUGCCUCAAGAGCAAGAAGGAGUCACUUACGGAGCCAAUAGCUUAUAGGCUCCAACCCAC